RNAcentral lists this ribosomal RNA (2930 nucleotides) under Escherichia coli. RNAcentral describes it as "23S ribosomal RNA". It matches the Rfam family "Bacterial large subunit ribosomal RNA". Lineage: Bacteria; Pseudomonadati; Pseudomonadota; Gammaproteobacteria; Enterobacterales; Enterobacteriaceae. The record is from RNAcentral.
GGGUUGUGAGGUUAAGCGACUAAGCGUACACGGUGGAUGCCCUGGCAGUCAGAGGCGAUGAAGGACGUGCUAAUCUGCGAUAAGCGUCGGUAAGGUGAUAUGAACCGUUAUAACCGGCGAUUUCCGAAUGGGGAAACCCAGUGUGAUUCGUCACACUAUCAUUAACUGAAUCCAUAGGUUAAUGAGGCGAACCGGGGGAACUGAAACAUCUAAGUACCCCGAGGAAAAGAAAUCAACCGAGAUUCCCCCAGUAGCGGCGAGCGAACGGGGAGCAGCCCAGAGCCUGAAUCAGUGUGUGUGUUAGUGGAAGCGUCUGGAAAGGCGUGCGAUACAGGGUGACAGCCCCGUACACAAAAAUGCACAUACUGUGAGCUCGAUGAGUAGGGCGGGACACGUGGUAUCCUGUCUGAAUAUGGGGGGACCAUCCUCCAAGGCUAAAUACUCCUGACUGACCGAUAGUGAACCAGUACCGUGAGGGAAAGGCGAAAAGAACCCCGGCGAGGGGAGUGAAAAAGAACCUGAAACCGUGUACGUACAAGCAGUGGGAGCACGCUUAGGCGUGUGACUGCGUACCUUUUGUAUAAUGGGUCAGCGACUUAUAUUCUGUAGCAAGGUUAACCGAAUAGGGGAGCCGAAGGGAAACCGAGUCUUAACUGGGCGUUAAGUUGCAGGGUAUAGACCCGAAACCCGGUGAUCUAGCCAUGGGCAGGUUGAAGGUUGGGUAACACUAACUGGAGGACCGAACCGACUAAUGUUGAAAAAUUAGCGGAUGACUUGUGGCUGGGGGUGAAAGGCCAAUCAAACCGGGAGAUAGCUGGUUCUCCCCGAAAGCUAUUUAGGUAGCGCCUCGUGAAUUCAUCUCCGGGGGUAGAGCACUGUUUCGGCAAGGGGGUCAUCCCGACUUACCAACCCGAUGCAAACUGCGAAUACCGGAGAAUGUUAUCACGGGAGACACACGGCGGGUGCUAACGUCCGUCGUGAAGAGGGAAACAACCCAGACCGCCAGCUAAGGUCCCAAAGUCAUGGUUAAGUGGGAAACGAUGUGGGAAGGCCCAGACAGCCAGGAUGUUGGCUUAGAAGCAGCCAUCAUUUAAAGAAAGCGUAAUAGCUCACUGGUCGAGUCGGCCUGCGCGGAAGAUGUAACGGGGCUAAACCAUGCACCGAAGCUGCGGCAGCGACGCUUAUGCGUUGUUGGGUAGGGGAGCGUUCUGUAAGCCUGCGAAGGUGUGCUGUGAGGCAUGCUGGAGGUAUCAGAAGUGCGAAUGCUGACAUAAGUAACGAUAAAGCGGGUGAAAAGCCCGCUCGCCGGAAGACCAAGGGUUCCUGUCCAACGUUAAUCGGGGCAGGGUGAGUCGACCCCUAAGGCGAGGCCGAAAGGCGUAGUCGAUGGGAAACAGGUUAAUAUUCCUGUACUUGGUGUUACUGCGAAGGGGGGACGGAGAAGGCUAUGUUGGCCGGGCGACGGUUGUCCCGGUUUAAGCGUGUAGGCUGGUUUUCCAGGCAAAUCCGGAAAACUAAGGCUGAGGCGUGAUGACGAGGCACUACGGUGCUGAAGCAACAAAUGCCCUGCUUCCAGGAAAAGCCUCUAAGCAUCAGGUAACAUCAAAUCGUACCCCAAACCGACACAGGUGGUCAGGUAGAGAAUACCAAGGCGCUUGAGAGAACUCGGGUGAAGGAACUAGGCAAAAUGGUGCCGUAACUUCGGGAGAAGGCACGCUGAUAUGUAGGUGAAGUCCCUCGCGGAUGGAGCUGAAAUCAGUCGAAGAUACCAGCUGGCUGCAACUGUUUAUUAAAAACACAGCACUGUGCAAACACGAAAGUGGACGUAUACGGUGUGACGCCUGCCCGGUGCCGGAAGGUUAAUUGAUGGGGUUAGCGCAAGCGAAGCUCUUGAUCGAAGCCCCGGUAAACGGCGGCCGUAACUAUAACGGUCCUAAGGUAGCGAAAUUCCUUGUCGGGUAAGUUCCGACCUGCACGAAUGGCGUAAUGAUGGCCAGGCUGUCUCCACCCGAGACUCAGUGAAAUUGAACUCGCUGUGAAGAUGCAGUGUACCCGCGGCAAGACGGAAAGACCCCGUGAACCUUUACUAUAGCUUGACACUGAACAUUGAGCCUUGAUGUGUAGGAUAGGUGGGAGGCUUUGAAGUGUGGACGCCAGUCUGCAUGGAGCCGACCUUGAAAUACCACCCUUUAAUGUUUGAUGUUCUAACGUUGACCCGUGAUCCGGGUUGCGGACAGUGUCUGGUGGGUAGUUUGACUGGGGCGGUCUCCUCCUAAAGAGUAACGGAGGAGCACGAAGGUUGGCUAAUCCUGGUCGGACAUCAGGAGGUUAGUGCAAUGGCAUAAGCCAGCUUGACUGCGAGCGUGACGGCGCGAGCAGGUGCGAAAGCAGGUCAUAGUGAUCCGGUGGUUCUGAAUGGAAGGGCCAUCGCUCAACGGAUAAAAGGUACUCCGGGGAUAACAGGCUGAUACCGCCCAAGAGUUCAUAUCGACGGCGGUGUUUGGCACCUCGAUGUCGGCUCAUCACAUCCUGGGGCUGAAGUAGGUCCCAAGGGUAUGGCUGUUCGCCAUUUAAAGUGGUACGCGAGCUGGGUUUAGAACGUCGUGAGACAGUUCGGUCCCUAUCUGCCGUGGGCGCUGGAGAACUGAGGGGGGCUGCUCCUAGUACGAGAGGACCGGAGUGGACGCAUCACUGGUGUUCGGGUUGUCAUGCCAAUGGCACUGCCCGGUAGCUAAAUGCGGAAGAGAUAAGUGCUGAAAGCAUCUAAGCACGAAACUUGCCCCGAGAUGAGUUCUCCCUGACUCCUUGAGAGUCCUGAAGGAACGUUGAAGACGACGACGUUGAUAGGCCGGGUGUGUAAGCGCAGCGAUGCGUUGAGCUAACCGGUACUAAUGAACCGUGAGGCUUAACCUUACAACGCCGAAGCUGUU